CCUACGGGAGGCAGCAGUGGGGGAUAUUGCACAAUGGGGGGAACCCUGAUGCAGCGACGCCGCGUGGGUGAAGGAGCGUUUCGGCGCGUAAAGCCCUAUCGGCAGGGAAGAAGGAGGACGGUACCUGACUAAGAAGCCCCGGCUAACUACGUGCCAGCAGCCGCGGUAAUACGUAGGGGGCAAGCGUUAUCCGGAUUUACUGGGUGUAAAGGGAGCGUAGACGGCAGUGCAAGUCUGGAGUGAAAGGCGGGGGCUCAACCCCCGGACUGCUCUGGAAACUGUACGGCUGGAGUGCAGGAGAGGUAAGUGGAAUUCCUAGUGUAGCGGUGAAAUGCGUAGAUAUUAGGAGGAACACCAGUGGCGAAGGCGGCUUACUGGACUGUAACUGACGUUGAGGCUCGAAAGCGUGGGGAGCAAACAGGAUUAGAUACCCCAGUAGUC
RNAcentral lists this ribosomal RNA (441 nucleotides) under uncultured bacterium. Its description in RNAcentral is "partial 16S ribosomal RNA". It matches the Rfam family "Bacterial small subunit ribosomal RNA", at positions 338 to 795 of the family's 1533-position model. The record is from RNAcentral.